ACAAUCAAAAUAUAGAACAAUUCCCAGAUCAGAAAAAAAGAAAAAGCGAAUCAGAAACAAAACCCAAACCAAAACCAAUCAAAAACAAAAAAAUCCCAUCUCGUAUUUUAAUUAGCAACAAACCAAUAGAUGAUGGAAUCACAUAGAGAAACAAAAUUCGUAAAAAAUAAACUAAAAUUAAAUAUUAGUUUGAUUAAAAUUACUUUGAAGAAAAUCAAGCAGAGACAAGCAUUAAAAAUAGAAGAAGAACCUUUGUGAGAGGUAGACCAAAGGACUCUGCAAAGAAACUCCUCCUUGCUUCCUAAAAAGAGGCAGAUCAAAAGAAGCUGAUAGAUAAUUGAGUGAGAAAAAAAAAAUUGAGUUAUUUAUGAAACUUUUCAUCACAUUGACUGACUACAAGUCUACAAGUCAAGUCUUUAGAUAAUAAUAAUUAUAUCUUUAAUCACAAAAACAUAAUUUUUUUUUUGUUAUAAUAUGUAUGAGUUAUUUAUUUUUUAAAUUAAUUUAACUCUUUAUAAGAAGUUUUUGUCCAAAUCUAAUUUACCUGAUCCCAAGAUAUAAUUAUAUAAUCUCAUUAUAUAUCUUAUAUCUUUAAUUUCCUGUGAAUUGAAUUGAGUUUGGAUAAGAAAAAUUCAUAAAUUUAAAAGUAUCAAUUAUUUAUUUAUAUUUUAAUUAAUUCAUCUAUCUCAAAAAUAAUUUUUUUUAUUUAUUAUAAGGCUCAAUUAAGGUAUUAACUAAACUUGGUUCCAACUUAAUAACUUUUAAUUAUUCCUAUUUUUUUUUCCAUUGUCACCCUAUUACUAUGAUUAUUAUGUUAAC
RNAcentral lists this unclassified non-coding RNA (819 nucleotides) under Hevea brasiliensis (rubber tree). Lineage: Eukaryota; Viridiplantae; Streptophyta; Magnoliopsida; Malpighiales; Euphorbiaceae. The record is from RNAcentral.